GGUGAGUAACACGUGGGUAACCUGCCUGUAAGACUGGGAUAACUCCGGGAAACCGGGGCUAAUACCGGAUGGUUGUCUGAACCGCAUGGUUCAGACAUAAAAGGUGGCUUCGGCUACCACUUACAGAUGGACCCGCGGCGCAUUAGCUAGUUGGUGAGGUAACGGCUCACCAAGGCGACGAUGCGUAGCCGACCUGAGAGGGUGAUCGGCCACACUGGGACUGAGACACGGCCCAGACUCCUACGGGAGGCAGCAGUAGGGAAUCUUCCGCAAUGGACGAAAGUCUGACGGAGCAACGCCGCGUGAGUGAUGAAGGUUUUCGGAUCGUAAAGCUCUGUUGUUAGGGAAGAACAAGUGCCGUUCAAAUAGGGCGGCACCUUGACGGUACCUAACCAGAAAGCCACGGCUAACUACGUGCCAGCAGCCGCGGUAAUACGUAGGUGGCAAGCGUUGUCCGGAAUUAUUGGGCGUAAAGGGCUCGCAGGCGGUUUCUUAAGUCUGAUGUGAAAGCCCCCGGCUCAACCGGGGAGGGUCAUUGGAAACUGGGGAACUUGAGUGCAGAAGAGGAGAGUGGAAUUCCACGUGUAGCGGUGAAAUGCGUAGAGAUGUGGAGGAACACCAGUGGCGAAGGCGACUCUCUGGUCUGUAACUGACGCUGAGGAGCGAAAGCGUGGGGAGCGAACAGGAUUAGAUACCCUGGUAGUCCACGCCGUAAACGAUGAGUGCUAAGUGUUAGGGGGUUUCCGCCCCUUAGUGCUGCAGCUAACGCAUUAAGCACUCCGCCUGGGGAGUACGGUCGCAAGACUGAAACUCAAAGGAAUUGACGGGGGCCCGCACAAGCGGUGGAGCAUGUGGUUUAAUUCGAAGCAACGCGAAGAACCUUACCAGGUCUUGACAUCCUCUGACAAUCCUAGAGAUAGGACGUCCCCUUCGGGGGCAGAGUGACAGGUGGUGCAUGGUUGUCGUCAGCUCGUGUCGUGAGAUGUUGGGUUAAGUCCCGCAACGAGCGCAACCCUUGAUCUUAGUUGCCAGCAUUCAGUUGGGCACUCUAAGGUGACUGCCGGUGACAAACCGGAGGAAGGUGGGGAUGACGUCAAAUCAUCAUGCCCCUUAUGACCUGGGCUACACACGUGCUACAAUGGACAGAACAAAGGGCAGCGAAACCGCGAGGUUAAGCCAAUCCCACAAAUCUGUUCUCAGUUCGGAUCGCAGUCUGCAACUCGACUGCGUGAA
RNAcentral lists this ribosomal RNA (1233 nucleotides) under Bacillus sp. (in: firmicutes). RNAcentral's name for it is "bacterial SSU rRNA". It matches the Rfam family "Bacterial small subunit ribosomal RNA", at positions 105 to 1324 of the family's 1533-position model. The record is from RNAcentral. Lineage: Bacteria; Bacillati; Bacillota; Bacilli; Caryophanales; Bacillaceae.